This is a non-coding RNA of Metschnikowia aff. pulcherrima, 335 nucleotides long. The record is from the annotation of a GenBank genome assembly. Lineage: Eukaryota; Fungi; Ascomycota; Pichiomycetes; Serinales; Metschnikowiaceae.
GCGCUACACUGACGGAGCCAGCGAGUUUGCCUUAGCCGAGAGGUUUGGGAAAUCUUGAGAAACUCCGUCGUGCUGGGGAUAGAGCAUUGUAAUUUUUGCUCUUCAACGAGGAAUUCCUAGUAAGCGCAAGUCAUCAGCUUGCGUUGAUUACGUCCCUGCCCUUUGUACACACCGCCCGUCGCUACUACCGAUUGAAUGGCUUAGUGAGGCCUCUGGAUUAAACCCUGGGCCGGGGCGACCCGGCCUUGGGUUGAGAAACUGGUCAAACUUGGUCAUUUAGAGGAAGUAAAAGUCGUAACAAGGUUUCCGUAGGUGAACCUGCGGAAGGAUCAUUA